Molecule: ribosomal RNA, 2410 nt
Filed under: Staphylococcus aureus M0299
Lineage: Bacteria; Bacillati; Bacillota; Bacilli; Caryophanales; Staphylococcaceae
Description: bacterial LSU rRNA
Rfam family: Bacterial large subunit ribosomal RNA
Source: RNAcentral
UUAAGUUAUUAAGGGCGCACGGUGGAUGCCUUGGCACUAGAAGCCGAUGAAGGACGUUACUAACGACGAUAUGCUUUGGGGAGCUGUAAGUAAGCUUUGAUCCAGAGAUUUCCGAAUGGGGAAACCCAGCAUGAGUUAUGUCAUGUUAUCGAUAUGUGAAUACAUAGCAUAUCAGAAGGCACACCCGGAGAACUGAAACAUCUUAGUACCCGGAGGAAGAGAAAGAAAAUUCGAUUCCCUUAGUAGCGGCGAGCGAAACGGGAAGAGCCCAAACCAACAAGCUUGCUUGUUGGGGUUGUAGGACACUCUAUACGGAGUUACAAAGGACGACAUUAGACGAAUCAUCUGGAAAGAUGAAUCAAAGAAGGUAAUAAUCCUGUAGUCGAAAAUGUUGUCUCUCUUGAGUGGAUCCUGAGUACGACGGAGCACGUGAAAUUCCGUCGGAAUCUGGGAGGACCAUCUCCUAAGGCUAAAUACUCUCUAGUGACCGAUAGUGAACCAGUACCGUGAGGGAAAGGUGAAAAGCACCCCGGAAGGGGAGUGAAAUAGAACCUGAAACCGUGUGCUUACAAGUAGUCAGAGCCCGUUAAUGGGUGAUGGCGUGCCUUUUGUAGAAUGAACCGGCGAGUUACGAUUUGAUGCAAGGUUAAGCAGUAAAUGUGGAGCCGUAGCGAAAGCGAGUCUGAAUAGGGCGUUUAGUAUUUGGUCGUAGACCCGAAACCAGGUGAUCUACCCUUGGUCAGGUUGAAGUUCAGGUAACACUGAAUGGAGGACCGAACCGACUUACGUUGAAAAGUGAGCGGAUGAACUGAGGGUAGCGGAGAAAUUCCAAUCGAACCUGGAGAUAGCUGGUUCUCUCCGAAAUAGCUUUAGGGCUAGCCUCAAGUGAUGAUUAUUGGAGGUAGAGCACUGUUUGGACGAGGGGCCCCUCUCGGGUUACCGAAUUCAGACAAACUCCGAAUGCCAAUUAAUUUAACUUGGGAGUCAGAACAUGGGUGAUAAGGUCCGUGUUCGAAAGGGAAACAGCCCAGACCACCAGCUAAGGUCCCAAAAUAUAUGUUAAGUGGAAAAGGAUGUGGCGUUGCCCAGACAACUAGGAUGUUGGCUUAGAAGCAGCCAUCAUUUAAAGAGUGCGUAAUAGCUCACUAGUCGAGUGACACUGCGCCGAAAAUGUACCGGGGCUAAACAUAUUACCGAAGCUGUGGAUUGUCCUUUGGACAAUGGUAGGAGAGCGUUCUAAGGGCGUUGAAGCAUGAUCGUAAGGACAUGUGGAGCGCUUAGAAGUGAGAAUGCCGGUGUGAGUAGCGAAAGACGGGUGAGAAUCCCGUCCACCGAUUGACUAAGGUUUCCAGAGGAAGGCUCGUCCGCUCUGGGUUAGUCGGGUCCUAAGCUGAGGCCGACAGGCGUAGGCGAUGGAUAACAGGUUGAUAUUCCUGUACCACCUAUAAUCGUUUUAAUCGAUGGGGGGACGCAGUAGGAUAGGCGAAGCGUGCGAUUGGAUUGCACGUCUAAGCAGUAAGGCUGAGUAUUAGGCAAAUCCGGUACUCGUUAAGGCUGAGCUGUGAUGGGGAGAAGACAUUGAGUCUUCGAGUCGUUGAUUUCACACUGCCGAGAAAAGCCUCUAGAUAGAAAAUAGGUGCCCGUACCGCAAACCGACACAGGUAGUCAAGAUGAGAAUUCUAAGGUGAGCGAGCGAACUCUCGUUAAGGAACUCGGCAAAAUGACCCCGUAACUUCGGGAGAAGGGGUGCUCUUUAGGGUUAACGCCCAGAAGAGCCGCAGUGAAUAGGCCCAAGCGACUGUUUAUCAAAAACACAGGUCUCUGCUAAACCGUAAGGUGAUGUAUAGGGGCUGACGCCUGCCCGGUGCUGGAAGGUUAAGAGGAGUGGUUAGCUUCUGCGAAGCUACGAAUCGAAGCCCCAGUAAACGGCGGCCGUAACUAUAACGGUCCUAAGGUAGCGAAAUUCCUUGUCGGGUAAGUUCCGACCCGCACGAAAGGCGUAACGAUUUGGGCACUGUCUCAACGAGAGACUCGGUGAAAUCAUAGUACCUGUGAAGAUGCAGGUUACCCGCGACAGGACGGAAAGACCCCGUGGAGCUUUACUGUAGCCUGAUAUUGAAAUUCGGCACAGCUUGUACAGGAUAGGUAGGAGCCUUUGAAACGUGAGCGCUAGCUUACGUGGAGGCGCUGGUGGGAUACUACCCUAGCUGUGUUGGCUUUCUAACCCGCACCACUUAUCGUGGUGGGAGACAGUGUCAAGCGGGCAGUUUGACUGGGGCGGUCGCCUCCUAAAAGGUAACGGAGGCGCUCAAAGGUUCCCUCAGAAUGGUUGGAAAUCAUUCAUAGAGUGUAAAGGCAUAAGGGAGCUUGACUGCGAGACCUACAAGUCGAGCAGGGUCGAAAGACGGAC